RNAcentral lists this transfer RNA (74 nucleotides) under Deinococcus aerius. It matches the Rfam family "tRNA". Rfam says of the family: Transfer RNA (tRNA) molecules are approximately 80 nucleotides in length. Their secondary structure includes four short double-helical elements and three loops (D, anti-codon, and T loops). Further hydrogen bonds mediate the characteristic L-shaped molecular structure. tRNAs have two regions of fundamental functional importance: the anti-codon, which is responsible for specific mRNA codon recognition, and the 3' end, to which the tRNAs corresponding amino acid is attached (by aminoacyl-tRNA synthetases). tRNAs cope with the degeneracy of the genetic code in two manners: having more than one tRNA (with a specific anti-codon) for a particular amino acid; and 'wobble' base-pairing, i.e. permitting non-standard base-pairing at the 3rd anti-codon position. Lineage: Bacteria; Thermotogati; Deinococcota; Deinococci; Deinococcales; Deinococcaceae. The record is from Rfam by way of RNAcentral.
GCUUCGGUAUCCCAAUCGGCAGAGGAAUCGCGUCGAGAACGCGAGCAGUGCGGGUUCGAAUCCCGCCCGGAGCA